GGAAUAUAAGAACCCGUCUCUUAACUUUUAACUAAAAAAGUUAAGAACCGUCUCUUAAAACUCUUAUUUAAGAGUCGGUUCUUAGCUUUUUUUAAUUAAAAGUUAAGAGACAUGUUCUUAUAUUUC
This 126-nucleotide microRNA precursor is filed under the name Brassica napus (rape). RNAcentral's name for it is "MIR9563 microRNA precursor family". It matches the Rfam family "MIR9563 microRNA precursor family". The record is from Rfam by way of RNAcentral. Lineage: Eukaryota; Viridiplantae; Streptophyta; Magnoliopsida; Brassicales; Brassicaceae.